AAUAGUUAUUUUACUAUUCACAAUUUGUAAAAUAGUUACUUUUCGCUGUUUGAUUGAUACACUUAGAUCUGUAUAACAUUUUUAGUGUUAGAUUACAUAUAUCUGGACAUUAAAAGUGUUGUACUAAUUUAAGUGUACAAAUAAAACAGUAAAAAUAACUAUUCUGAAUAGUAAAAUGAUUAUUUUCAAACUCAAUCUAUAAAUUUUGUCUCCUACUUGAUAGUACAUA
RNAcentral lists this small RNA (229 nucleotides) under Arabidopsis thaliana (thale cress). RNAcentral's name for it is "ATSL104690". Lineage: Eukaryota; Viridiplantae; Streptophyta; Magnoliopsida; Brassicales; Brassicaceae. The record is from RNAcentral.